This is a long non-coding RNA of Chinchilla lanigera (long-tailed chinchilla), 3119 nucleotides long. NCBI's taxonomy places the organism in Eukaryota, Metazoa, Chordata, Mammalia, Rodentia, Chinchillidae. The record is from Ensembl.
ACAGUGGCAAAAUUUAUUCAAGAAAGCAAUGCUGAAGAGUGGGAGAGAAACUGGCUCUGUAGAGCGAGCUUGGGCCCAGUGAAUAGAAAAAGAGGGCGAGAGCAAAGAUAAAAGUGCACUGGGAAACGCAGCAUGGGCUGUCCUAGGAAGUCACGGUAGAAAAGCCCUCAUGGUGUCACUGUGCCCUUUUAUGAUGUCUGAAUGUUGAGGGAACCCGUGAGAACUUCCACUUAUGGGUCCUGAAAGGUGGUGCCGAGAUCCAGUGCCUCAGUAUGAUGACAGGUCUUGGCCAUCCUAUCACACACUUGCUCCAGUUCUCCCAAGAAACCCAUCUGCAGGGCUUUGGGAACUGUUCUGCGCAGUGUCUGCGGGUCACACCUCUUUCCCCAGCCAGCUCUUUCCAUCUCCUGAUCUUCUAUCGCUGUGUGGCUGCUGCACUUGAGUGUUACAGACCGUGGAAUUGCCAGAGGUGGUCAGCUAGAGGAGCCCAGCCACCUCUCCUGGGCGUGUGUCACCACCCACAGCUGCAGCAGCUGUUUCACACUGCCAAGUCUGUGGUAAUUUGCCACACGGCAAGAGAAAACGAACAGAGCCUUCCAAGAGUCAGCCAUGGCUGCCGCCUUCCAGCACGCUGUCUCACGGGGAGGACGGAUGCCGCUGCAAAGGAUGAAGGAUUAAAGGCCGAGUUCUUUAUAAAAAAAUGAAGUCAGCAUAUCCCAACAAGGAAUCGUUAGGAAGCCAGAGGAGGCUGCUGUGAGCUGAGGCAGACCCUACCUCGGGAGCAGACUGAUCCCCCCACCCCCGAGCGUCCUCCGCAGGCUGUUCCCUAGGACGCGCUGUCCCUGCGCUUGUCAGCGAGGAAAUACACCUGCAGACUUCCUCCAUGCUGAAGGCGGAGCUUGGGCCAUGGCAGAUGGGAGAGGGAGGGGAUCCAGUGCUCAGUGAACUAUGGCCAAGUGGUCCCUGGAAACAUUACCCAGAAUGGGGCUGUCUGCGUCCUGCCAGUUAGCCUCUCUAAAGACUUUGAUAAAUGGAUGGCAAAAUAUCCACGGGCUUUCGCCACGUACUGUUGCUGCGCUAGCAGUUAGCUUUGCCAGGACAGUGUAUGUAGUACGUCUCUUCUUCAGAGUCACUCAAAUCAGAUCCUUUUCCUUCCCAGUUUAAAAUAUUGGGCCAGGGAUAUAGCUCAGCAGCACAGUCACCUGCCUGGCAAGCGUAAGGACCUGAGUUUGACACCCAGUACCAAAAAAUAAAUAAAAUAAAAUAAAAUAUCAAAAUAUUGCAGCUCUCAGACCUGAAAGAAAUAACCCUGCAGCUGGAUGGGAUGGCACAUGGUCCUGCCCUCUUGGGAGGCUGGUGCUGGAGGAUCACAAGUCUGAGCUCAGCUACUUAGCAAAGACCCUACCUAAAAAUAAAAAGGAAGGCUGGAAAUAUAGCUCAGUGUGUAGGCCCUAGCUUUAUCCUCAAGACUGGAAAAGACAAAAAAUUAAAAAAAAAAAAAUCCAGUGACAUAAAAUAGUUAUGAUUGCAGGAAUCAAUUUCUUAGCUCCACUUAUCUGAAUAUCGUUAGUGCUGUGGAAUCUAUUUCGGAAACGGGUAGAAGUUUGAGGAUAAACCUGGUGUGGAAUCAGUUAUCAGCACAGACUGUGUUCUCACAGAACCAUCCCUUGAGGCCAUCCUGUGGGCGUCUUGAGCAAGACAGAUAUCACCCCAGGUCCAGCCAUGUCACUCCCACUGGCGGCCUGCAGGUCUCCCUCAGUGGUGGCCUGCAGGGCAGGUUGCUCGUCACAGCCUGCCCUGACUUGUUCUGACCAUCUGUCUUCCUUGCUGUCUGGAAUUCUUCUCUGCACUCUGACUGGUGCGGCCGCUUCGCCCAAGACUGUUUUCUGCCUCCUGGCUGUGCUGUGCUCGGUUCUCCUUUGUGAUAGCAGGUCUCUGCCUCUCUAUCUGGAAACUGCUGGGUGCUUCUUCCUCUUUUCAUUAGGCAAAGUCCUACUUAAUCUUCAAGUCUCUUUCAAACACAACGCAGGGGCUACUUGCACAGCCCCAGGCUGCCGUGGGGGACGGGACUGUCUGUCUGGCAGUAAGGCGCUCCAUUAGGCUCCGCUAAUUGAGGCAGAGACCCUGGGUUAGAUUGUUCUUUUUCGUAUUUAUAUCACUAACAUUAUUACCUUUCUGAAAUGAAUAUUUGUUGGCUGACUGUAGAGAUAUGGGCUGUCAAGGUUUGGGAGGUGCCCUGGGUGAUGUCUAGCUCACCCACCACAGAAGAAUAUUGCAUCUGGGGUUUCUGGUGGAAAAAGAGUGAUUAGACCGAGGAAAAAGCAGAGCCCUUUGGAGUGAAGCCGCUUGGGAUGUGAACAUACUUUGGGAGACUUGAGCUGGAAACAAAACAAGAUUUUUUUUUUUUGAGAUAAGGUCUAGCUAUGUAGUUGAGGCUGGCCUCAAACUUACAGUGAUCCUCCUGCCUCAGCCUCCUGAGUGCUGGGAUUAAAGGCAUGUGCCACCAUGCCCAGCCUAAAACGAAAUUGUGGAAGGUCCAGGUGAGACACUCAACUGGUGAGAAUUGAGAGAGGAAAACAAGUAGAUACCAGUUUCCUGUUGGCAUUGGUCCUCACCUGCAGUCCUACUGACUUCUAGUGCUGUCGACUUCAGCAGUUACAUCCUAUAGUCUUGGCUCUAGAUCUGUAUGUGAGCCAUCACGGACCCAGGAGUGUUAGACACGUUUGCUUGAAAGUCCUAGUUCACAUUGUUAUCAAUUAGAAGUGAAUAAACAAUAUCAUCAGGGUGUCUCUUUCUUUUUCUUUCUUUCUUUCUUUCUUUCUUUCUUUCUUUCUUUCUUUCUUUCUUUCUUUCUUUCUUUCUUUUCUUUUCUUUCUUUCCUUCUUUCUUCCUCUUUUGUGGUACUGGGAUUGAACCUAGGGGUAUUCUACCACAGAGCUAUAUCUCUACCCCUUUUAUACUUUGAGGCAGGGUUUUACUAAAUUAUCCAGGCAGGAUUUGAAUUUGUAGUCUCCUGCCUUAGCCUCAAUGAGUAUUGGGAUUACAGGGGUAUGCCAUUGCACCUAAGUUUUUAAAACUUUUUUUUUUUUUGUCUUUUUGAGACAGGGUCCUGCUAUGCA